AGAGUUUGAUCAUGGCUCAGAUUGAACGCUGGCGGCAGGCCUAACACAUGCAAGUCGAACGGUAACAGGAAGCAGCUUGCUGCUUUGCUGACGAGUGGCGGACGGGUGAGUAAUGUCUGGGAAACUGCCUGAUGGAGGGGGAUAACUACUGGAAACGGUGGCUAAUACCGCAUAACGUCGCAAGACCAAAGAGGGGGACCUUCGGGCCUCUUGCCAUCAGAUGUGCCCAGAUGGGAUUAGCUUGUUGGUGAGGUAACGGCUCACCAAGGCGACGAUCCCUAGCUGGUCUGAGAGGAUGACCAGCCACACUGGAACUGAGACACGGUCCAGACUCCUACGGGAGGCAGCAGUGGGGAAUAUUGCACAAUGGGCGCAAGCCUGAUGCAGCCAUGCCGCGUGUAUGAAGAAGGCCUUCGGGUUGUAAAGUACUUUCAGCGGGGAGGAAGGUGUUGUGGUUAAUAACCACAGCAAUUGACGUUACCCGCAGAAGAAGCACCGGCUAACUCCGUGCCAGCAGCCGCGGUAAUACGGAGGGUGCAAGCGUUAAUCGGAAUUACUGGGCGUAAAGCGCACGCAGGCGGUCUGUCAAGUCGGAUGUGAAAUCCCCGGGCUCAACCUGGGAACUGCAUUCGAAACUGGCAGGCUUGAGUCUUGUAGAGGGGGGUAGAAUUCCAGGUGUAGCGGUGAAAUGCGUAGAGAUCUGGAGGAAUACCGGUGGCGAAGGCGGCCCCCUGGACAAAGACUGACGCUCAGGUGCGAAAGCGUGGGGAGCAAACAGGAUUAGAUACCCUGGUAGUCCACGCCGUAAACGAUGUCUACUUGGAGGUUGUGCCCUUGAGGCGUGGCUUCCGGAGCUAACGCGUUAAGUAGACCGCCUGGGGAGUACGGCCGCAAGGUUAAAACUCAAAUGAAUUGACGGGGGCCCGCACAAGCGGUGGAGCAUGUGGUUUAAUUCGAUGCAACGCGAAGAACCUUACCUGGUCUUGACAUCCACAGAACUUUCCAGAGAUGGACUGGUGCCUUCGGGAACCGUGAGACAGGUGCUGCAUGGCUGUCGUCAGCUCGUGUUGUGAAAUGUUGGGUUAAGUCCCGCAACGAGCGCAACCCUUAUCCUUUGUUGCCAGCGGUUAGGCCGGGAACUCAAAGGAGACUGCCAGUGAUAAACUGGAGGAAGGUGGGGAUGACGUCAAGUCAUCAUGGCCCUUACGACCAGGGCUACACACGUGCUACAAUGGCGCAUACAAAGAGAAGCGACCUCGCGAGAGCAAGCGGACCUCAUAAAGUGCGUCGUAGUCCGGAUUGGAGUCUGCAACUCGACUCCAUGAAGUCGGAAUCGCUAGUAAUCGUGGAUCAGAAUGCCACGGUGAAUACGUUCCCGGGCCUUGUACACACCGCCCGUCACACCAUGGGAGUGGGUUGCAAAAGAAGUAGGUAGCUUAACCUUCGGGAGGGCGCUUACCACUUUGUGAUUCAUGACUGGGGUGAAGUCGUAACAAGGUAACCGUAGGGGAACCUGCGGUUG
This 1522-nucleotide ribosomal RNA is filed under the name Salmonella enterica subsp. enterica serovar Kentucky. RNAcentral's name for it is "bacterial SSU rRNA". It matches the Rfam family "Bacterial small subunit ribosomal RNA". Lineage: Bacteria; Pseudomonadati; Pseudomonadota; Gammaproteobacteria; Enterobacterales; Enterobacteriaceae. The record is from RNAcentral.